RNAcentral lists this ribosomal RNA (232 nucleotides) under uncultured bacterium. RNAcentral's name for it is "partial 16S ribosomal RNA". It matches the Rfam family "Bacterial small subunit ribosomal RNA", at positions 99 to 334 of the family's 1533-position model. The record is from RNAcentral.
CGGACGGGUGAGUAAUGUCUGGGAAACUGCCUGAUGGAGGGGGAUAACUACUGGAAACGGUAGCUAAUACCGCAUAACGUCGCAAGACCAAAGAGGGGGACCUUCGGGCCUCUUGCCAUCGGAUGUGCCCAGAUAGGAUUAGCUAGUAGGUGGGGUAAAGGCUCACCUAGGCGACGAUCCCUAGCUGGUCUGAGAGGAUGACCAGCCACACUGGAACUGAGACACGGUCCAG